AUCAAAGUUCUCGUUGUUGAUCUCACAUGCUUUAAGUGCAAUAGGACGGUCAAAUUUUUCUUGCUUCCGCUUGUAGAUUGGCAACUCGACCGACAAGAUUAGGGAUUGCAUAUCAUAAUUUUUGGGAAAUAAAACACCAACACAUUCAACCACAGCAUCAUUGGCUUCUAAAUCAUCUCGUACCUCCGAAUUAUUAUAAAAAUAAUAUGGAUUUAAAAUGUAGGCCGUCAUAUGUAGACAAGUGUCAAGCCUUUUGGAUGAUUUUUUUGAGAUAAUAUCUAGAAUAGGCUCGUAUGCAUUUUUAUUCUUGCCUUGGCUAGUUCCAAAUCUAUUAAUAGGACCAAAAGAACGAGAUUCCUUCAAAUCUCCUAAACAAUCAUCUAGGUCAAUUGUUUCAUCACCAAUGUUCACCUCGGAUCUUAAAGCUUCAUCACCACUUUGUUUAGCCUUUUUUUUGUUUUGGGCUUCAUUAAGAGCAUUUCGAACCCUUAACUGAUCAUCUUUUGUUGCUUUUGGACAAACCGUAACACUUCCCGGUAUGCCUGCUAUAUGUUGUUUCAAUCUAUAUAUUCCCCCGGACAUAGUCUUUUUACAUAAGUCGCAUUGAGUUCUAUCUAACUUAUUUGGAUCCACCAAACUUCCGUAUUCCCAACCAAUAUCGUUAGAUUUUCUUUUAAGAACUUUACUAGCGGUUGAUUCCAUAGAUGCCAUAAAUUAACUACACUUACCUGUUGGAUUGGAGAAGGAACUCGCCGCUGUAAGGAACUCGCCGGAGAAGAAAGCAGGUCCGCCGGAGAAGGAACUCGCCGCUGUAAGGAACUCGCCGGAGAAGAAAGCAGGUCCGCCGGAGAACGAAGCAAAGCCGCCGGAGAAGGAACUCGCCGCUGUCGCCUGUCGCUGAUGUCUUUGAUGUCGCCGCUGAGAGAAGGGGUGGAAUCAGUGAGUAUUCACCGAAGGUGA
Molecule: long non-coding RNA, 960 nt
Filed under: Helianthus annuus (common sunflower)
Lineage: Eukaryota; Viridiplantae; Streptophyta; Magnoliopsida; Asterales; Asteraceae
Description: sRNA HanXRQr2_Chr09g0396491
Source: RNAcentral